AACGAUGAAACUCCGCGUGCGCGUGCUCGGGAAAUGCAGCGUAAAGUCAUUUCUGCAGGUAAACUCUUGAGUCUGACUCUGCGCAUCUUCGCCAAAGUUUAUCUUCAAUUAAUCCAUCGGGUCACAGGGAAACCUGGAGCCUAUCCCAGGGAGCAUCGGGCACAAGGCGGGGUACACCCUGGACAGGGUGCCAGUCCAUCACAGGCACAAUCACAGGCACAAUCACAUACACAUUCACAACACUUGUCUUUGGACUGGCGGAGGAAACCGGAGUACCCAGAGGAAACCCCCGCAGCACGGGGAUAACAUGCAAACUCCACACACAGGGCCAUGGUGGGAAUCGAACCCCCAACCCUGGAGGUGUGAGCGUAGGUUGGCAGUUUGUCUUUCCCAUGUUGCAGUUGCUAUUCUUACAAUACCGUGGCUCAGAUUCCAGUAGAAGCCAAUUGCUCAUUCAGUCUGGUCCACACUAAAUCCCAC
Molecule: long non-coding RNA, 480 nt
Organism: Ictalurus punctatus (channel catfish)
Lineage: Eukaryota; Metazoa; Chordata; Actinopteri; Siluriformes; Ictaluridae
Source: Ensembl